GACGAACGCUGGCGGCGCGCUUAACACAUGCAAGUCGAACGGAAAGGCCUGCUUUCCCUUGUGGAUUGCGGGUACUCGAGUGGCGAACGGGUGAGUAACACGUGAGUGAUCUGCCCCCAACUUGGGUAUAAGCCUGGGAAACUGGGUCUAAUUCCCGAUAGGACUGCAGGGUGGUGCCUGUGGUGGAAAACGAUUUUCUAGUGGUUGGGGAUGAGCGCGCGGCCUAUCAGCUGGUUGGUGGGGUAAUGGCCUACCAAGGCGGCGACGGGUAGCCGGCCUGAGAGGGUGGACGGCGACAUUGGGACUGAGUUACGGCCCAGACGCCUACGGGAGGCAGCAGUGGGGAAUAUUGCACAAUGGGCGGAAGCCUGAUGCAGCGACGCCGCGUGGGGGAUGACGGCCUUCGGGUUGUAAACUCCUUUCGACCGCGAGGAAGCCACCUGGUUGGAAGGGUGGUGACGGUAGUGGUAGAAGAAGCGCCGGCUAACUACGUG
This 494-nucleotide ribosomal RNA is filed under the name uncultured bacterium. RNAcentral's name for it is "partial 16S ribosomal RNA". It matches the Rfam family "Bacterial small subunit ribosomal RNA", at positions 28 to 507 of the family's 1533-position model. The record is from RNAcentral.